This 75-nucleotide transfer RNA is filed under the name Corynebacterium glutamicum. RNAcentral describes it as "tRNA-Val". It matches the Rfam family "tRNA". From Rfam's summary of the family: Transfer RNA (tRNA) molecules are approximately 80 nucleotides in length. Their secondary structure includes four short double-helical elements and three loops (D, anti-codon, and T loops). The record is from RNAcentral. RNAcentral also lists the same sequence under 5 other names. Lineage: Bacteria; Bacillati; Actinomycetota; Actinomycetes; Mycobacteriales; Corynebacteriaceae.
GCGCGUUUAGCUCAGCGGGAGAGCGCUUCCCUGACACGGAAGAGGUCACUGGUUCAAUCCCAGUAUCGCGCACUA